RNAcentral lists this ribosomal RNA (621 nucleotides) under uncultured bacterium. RNAcentral's name for it is "bacterial SSU rRNA". The stretch from base 1 to 525 matches the Rfam family "Bacterial small subunit ribosomal RNA", at positions 338 to 873 of the family's 1533-position model. The record is from RNAcentral.
CCUACGGGAGGCAGCAGUGGGGAAUAUUGGACAAUGGGCGCAAGCCUGAUCCAGCAAUGCCGCGUGUGUGAAGAAGGUUUUCGGAUUGUAAAGCACUUUCGGCGGGGACGAUGAUGACGGUACCCGCAGAAGAAGCCCCGGCUAACUUCGUGCCAGCAGCCGCGGUAAUACGAAGGGGGCUAGCGUUGCUCGGAAUGACUGGGCGUAAAGGGCGCGUAGGCGGAUGAUACAGUCAGACGUGAAAUUCCUGGGCUCAACCUGGGGACUGCGUUUGAGACGUGUUGUCUAGAGUGAGGAAGAGGGUUGUGGAAUUCCCAGUGUAGAGGUGAAAUUCGUAGAUAUUGGGAAGAACACCGGUGGCGAAGGCGGCAACCUGGUCCUUUACUGACGCUGAGGCGCGAAAGCGUGGGGAGCAAACAGGAUUAGAUACCCUGGUAGUCCACGCUGUAAACGAUGUGUGCGUGAGUGUUGGGUUAACGUUAGUUACUCUAGUGUCGUAGUCUAACGACGAUAAGACACACCGCCGUCGGGGAGGUACGGCCGGCCGAAGGUUAGUAAACGUUAAAUUAGUAAGUUAGUACGGCGUGAGACGUGCCGAACGGACGACGACGAGGGAGUAGG